Molecule: small RNA, 1755 nt
Filed under: Histoplasma capsulatum
Lineage: Eukaryota; Fungi; Ascomycota; Eurotiomycetes; Onygenales; Ajellomycetaceae
Also listed under: 1 other name
Description: hypothetical RNA
Source: RNAcentral
UGCUCUCUCUCUCUGUGUGGGCAAUGACAACAUUUUGCAUUCAUCCUGAUCGGUCCGAAUGCUGAUUGAUCCUGAUUGGUGGAUUUUGGGGGGUUGGCCAAGUCUGUAAAAUAUACACAAUACCACUAGUAUUUAACGAUGCUAAUGCCAACCCACCAUCGGCACGUGAUAUAAACAAGGUUGGAAAAUUCCCAGCCUUCAACCUUCGCCUGCACAGUUUGAUAUAAGACAGCAGUCUCUGUCAGGAAUAGCAAGACUCCAUCUUCUGCCAGGGAGAGUGAAAAAAGGGCAGUGUGCGUCGAUACUUAUCUCUAUCGGGAAGAAUAACGUGGAAUCAAGCAACUUAACGUGCUCGCGCUCCAAGAUCUCCCACCACGUUUCCACACUCCAUCCGGACAGCUAUCGCCAUCAUCCACUGCUCGCCCACCCAUCACUCCCCAGUGCGAGUUUUUGAAGCGCCACUUGCGCUGCUCUAGAUCGCAACGUACAUACGGAGCCUCUUUUUCGUUCCUUGGACGUGCGCAAGGUACGUGUGUCUUUUGUUACUGCACAACUUCGGCCAAAGAAACAGGCUUUCCUGUGCAAUCAACAUAAAACCCAUUUCGACGAGUCUCCGUUCAUCAUGUCCCUUCCGCCACCUCCAGGUCUCCAACAGCAACCGUCUCAACCCCUGUCCUCGAAACCACCUCCGUCCACGUCUCUCCCCGCACGACCGCCCCCUACUGCUUCUUACCAGCCAACCGGUGCGCCGGGGGUAGCCAAUACUGCUUCGACUACUUCUGCUCCUAGACCCGGCGCCGGAUACAAUUCGCUCACAGCUUUUCAACCCCGUACCGUAACUACCGGCCAAUCUUUCCGCACUCACAGCCCUAAUGUCUCUGCGUCUCCAGCUGGCUACCAGCACCAUCACCAACCCCAUGUCCAGCAAUACUCGCGACCGCCCUAUGGGCAACCCAACAUAACCUACUACGGACAGCAACAGCAGCACUAUCAAAAUCAACACCAACCUUCACAGCAACACCAAGCGGUAGGCGCUUACGGUCAGCCGGGUGUCCCCCUCAUUCAAAAUCCCUUCCCUUAUCCAUCCCAGCCACCAAACAAUGCUUACAGCGGAGCUGGAAGAGGGUAUCACCGCCAAACCGCGGGCUCAGGCCUCGACCCGGACACCGAAGCGCAAAUAGCUCAAUGGCAGAGCGCGUACAUGGGUAAGGAGAGCAUCGAAGCCGCACAAGCCGCAGCAAAUACCGCCAGCGGCAAAGGCGCAUCGGGCGCCACUGGCGCCAACGCGGGGCCACUGGGAACCGUCCAACGCACACACGACGCUGCAGCGUCAGCGGCGCCAUCCAGCGGUCCGCAGACGACUUCAUCCACGCCUAUACCGCCAGGUGCAACCGCAGCGAUAGGCACAGCUGCAGGCGCAACCGCAGGUGCAGCCGAACCGGCCAAAACUGUCGUCCGCUCCGGCGGCGGCCAGAGCUGGACAGACUCCACGCUUCUCGAAUGGGACCCCGCACACUUCCGCCUCUUCGCGGGCAACCUCGCCGGCGAAGUGACGGACGACUCUCUCCUGAAGGCGUUCUCGAAGUACCCCUCCGUGCAGAAGGCGCGGGUGAUUCGCGAUAAGCGCACGGAGAAGAGUAAAGGGUAUGGUUUUGUGAGUUUUAGCGAUGGGGAGGAUUAUUUCCGGGCUGCGAGGGAGAUGCAAGGGAAGUAUAUUGGAUCGCAUCCCGUUUUGCUGAGGAGAGCUAUGACAGA